GCUGCAAGUGGGUCAGGAGAUCAGAGUGGACCGAGUAGGCCCUGGAAUGCUCUGCUGGGAGGCCUGCCAGGAGGACUUCAGUCCCCCACCCCGCCCCCAUCCUCCCCCCAGGGGCAGGAUGACUCGGCAUUUCCUAUUAUUAUUAUUAAGGCCAACCCCAGAGGCCCUGGCAAGGCUGACUGCUGUUAAAACUGGACUGUUCUCCUUCUGGUUCCUGGUUCAUUCUAGGUCUGUGUAGUAAAAGGCUGUUCCAGAAGGGAUGUAUAAUCCAUCCUUGUAUUUAAUACUCUUUUAUUACUUUUUUAAUUUGGGCCAACAGCCUGAGCUGGUCAGGCUUUGGGCUGACACCAGCUGCUUUAUCUGGCCACAUUGUCACAUAAUAAUAAGUAAUCUUUAUUGGUGAUCGCUAGGUGCUGACAUUGUGUGGAAGAACUUUCCCGGACAUCCCUUUUAAUUCUCAGAAGCAGGCCACAAGGUAGGUAUUAUCAUCUCCAUUUGCAGAUGAGAAAACUGAGGCUUAGAGAUGUUAAUUAAAUUGCUCAAGGAUUGAGAAUCUAACUCAAGCCUUUUCACUUAAGAGUCCCUGCUCUUAUCCUGUACCCUCUACUGCCUGGCAGAGAUUAGAAAUGGUUUAUUGAGAUUAAACAAAAAUCAGAAGGUGAUCAUAUGCAGGAGAAAAUUAAAGUGAGCCAAGAAUGUGAUGAGAAGGCAAGGUUAGAAUGGGGGAAGCACCUGCUGCUGGGAGAAAAUCCAACGUGGCUCAAACCACUGGCCCUUUCUGGCCAGAAAAGCUCCUCCCUAGAGGCUCCUUUACCUGAUUAACAUCUCUUCAAGAUGGACUCGUCUUGUUAUCUUUGUUUUCCAUGUAUGCAUUCCAUGGAUUUUUUUAGAUCUGUAUUCUUCCAGCCAUCAGGGGACAGGUGUGUAUUCAGUGAGACUGGAGAGGCACCUGUCAUACUGUUGCCCCAUCUCCAACCCUCACUAAAAUUUUCACUGUUACAGUAACUGGGUAAGGCAGUAAAGGCUGGGGCAUUGUCUUCAAAGGUUAUCACUGAAAUGCACACAUUGUCCUUGUGGGGGACUGGCAUUGGCCACCCGAAGAUAUGUCUCUUUGGCAUGAGGAUUAUUUGGGGCUGAUUACUUUUAAUGACCUGCAGACAGGAAAGGAGCUCUGAGAAGUAGAAUUUACUUACCAUUUGUUAAGAAACAUUUACAUUUGUAAGGGAAAUCUCCAUCUGUAAAGUUGUCUCCCUCUCUGUACCAGGAAGAAGGGGGAUGACCUUAUCUCUAGAAACUCCUAUCAAUACAGAAUGCAAGGACUUAAAUCUGCAUAAUAAUCUUAUUCCUGUUUAUUGUACUUGUCUGGUAACCUCCUGUAACUGACUUCCCCCACCCCCAACAUCCUCCUUUGUCUUUCGCUGGAUAUGAUAUUUAAGGUGGUGGCUUCAGCCAUUUUGGCGAGUUGCUCAGCUUGCCUGACCCUCUCCCAUGUAUACAUGUUAUAAAGCUUUGUUUAAUUUUCUCCUGUUAUUCUGUCUCAUGUGAAUUUAAUUUGUUCUCUGGCCAGAAGAACCCACAGUGGGUAGAGGAACUGUCUUCCUCCCCUACAUCCUCAAAGGCAAACUCCACGAAGGCAAAGAUUUUGUCUUGUGGUUCACGUUUCCAUAUCCCUAGCUAUGGGAACAUAGAAGGUGACCUUUAUGUAUUGAAUUAAGAAUUUAUAAAUAAAUGAAUUAAACAGAUGAACAGGAGGCAUAGUAUCCUGUGAAGCCUUUGUUGACACUCUUGUCUAGCUGAUUCAUUGACUUUGCAAAGCAGAGAAUGGGGAGGAAUAGGUCACAGGUAAUAUUUUUUGGGGAUGUGAUUGGGUAGGAUUAGGGAUGGGGAAGUUUGGAGCUUGGGGCUCUAUAGUGGGAGCCCCUGGAGAACUGGUGGGGAGUGUAAACUUCCCAGUCUAACUCCCUCUCCACUUCAGUGUCAAUGUCUGUAUACUGUCUUCGCAUGCUUCCCUCAACUUUAGAAGGAGAGGUGUCCUUCUGACUUAAAAAGGCUAAAAUCUCUAGUUUUAGCCCUUCUCUGGCAUUUUUGCUCUUUCUCCCCAAUGAUGGCUUCAAAUAAGCACAGGUGUUCCUCCUUCAAGAAAAACAAAACAAAUAAAAACAAAACCUGGUUUGACUGUGCAGUUUUUUCUGGUCAUCACUGAUGCGGGGUCGGUGAGCCGAGGAGUCGAAAGAAAGAUUUCUUAGACUCUCAAGAUCUGGCAGUAGUGCUCUUUUAUUUAGAGAAUAGUGUGGAAUAGCAUGGGGACAGGACCCAUGGGCAGGCAGAGCUGGUGCGUGGGGACAGGACCCACGGGCAGUCAGAGCUCCUGCUGCUGCCCCCGCUGGCAUGGGGACAGGGCCCAUGGGCAGGCAGAGCUCCUGCUGCUGCCCCCGCUGGCAUGGGGACAGGACCCAUGGGCAGGCAGAGCUCCUGCUGCUGCCCCCGCUGGCAUGGGGACAGGUCCCAUGGGCAGGCAGAGCUGGUGUGUGGGGACAAGACCCACAGGCAGUCAGAGCUCCUGCUGCUGCCCUGAGUUGAGGGUUAGGGCUAAUUUUAUAAGGCAUGGGUACGUGACUUAUUUUUACUGGAGAAAAGAAAAGAUGAUGUAAAAAGUCAUUAAAUGAUUUCAGUGCAGAUGGGGUCUGGUUAUUGUGCGGUCAUAUAACUUUAGAUACGAAUCUGGCCAUAUAGAUCGGCAUGCAGGUGAGGAUGCCCUGGGCUUCUCUCCCUGGGGCAGUCCUAAUUCAUACCAUAAAAAAAGUCCACUGGGUCAUAUAGUUUGGCAUGUAGGCCAGGUCACCUUGGGCUUCUCUAGCUGGGGCAGCCUUAAUCCACAUCAAUCACCCUAUUUCUCUUCCAUUUACUGUUACACUUGAAAAAAUGGUCGCACAUUUUAUCUUCAUUUUUCUACUACCCACUUACUCUUAAUUCCUUGAAAUCUGGCUUCUCCUGCUGCUGCUUUACUAAAACGUUCUCUUUCUGUCUUUUGUAGAAAUCAAACAGAACGAAACACUUUACAUCAGACUACUAGUUGUCCCUGAAAAUCCUUUCCCUUUCUUCCUUUUAUGAAUAAAACUUUCCCGAAUUUUAGCUGGGCAUAUGGAUGCCCACCUAGAGACUACGUUUCCCAUCCUCCCUUGUGGUGGGGCAUGGACAUUUAGCCAGGAGCUGGGGGCAACUUCCUGCUUCCCCCAAAUUAACUGUCUUGUCCUUCCUCUUUUGUUCUCACUGUUGACUAGAAGCAGCCUGGGAAAUUGGUGGUCAAGUGGGCAGGGCUGGCAUGUUCUGCACAGCAGUGCCUUUCUACCAGCCCUGGACUAUAUCAUUUCUGGAUCUUUAUGUAAGAGAGAAAUAAGCUUAUACUGUAUUUUAAUCUUUCUGUCUUGGGGUCUCUUUGUUACAGCAGCUUAGCAUGUAUCCUAAUAAAAUCCUUUAUUUCUUAUUUAAAAAGUAAUAUGCAUUCACUGUAGAAACUCCAUAACUUAAUGAUACAUAAAAGAUGACACAAUUCCUGUUGAACCUCCUACUUUUCUGAUUGAUUAUUCUCAGUAGUCUGUGCUUAAUUGCCUUCUUUUCUCUCUCC
This is a long non-coding RNA of Equus asinus (donkey), 3625 nucleotides long. The record is from Ensembl. Lineage: Eukaryota; Metazoa; Chordata; Mammalia; Perissodactyla; Equidae.